Molecule: long non-coding RNA, 94 nt
Organism: Ipomoea nil (Japanese morning glory)
Lineage: Eukaryota; Viridiplantae; Streptophyta; Magnoliopsida; Solanales; Convolvulaceae
Exons: 3
Source: RefSeq, a predicted model, not a curated record
UUAAUUUACUGAAAAUUUUUGAAAAAAAAAAUUAAGUUAGGCAUUUCGAAUUCGAAUAUUCGAGUCGAAUCGAAUAUAUUAGAAUAAACUGGUC